UGCUAAUUUGCUUUGCAUAAGAGAGAUCAAGAACAGGUUCAAUGUUUCUAAUCAUGACUGCCUCCUUCCAUGCUAAAACGUGGUGUGGGAUCAUUAACAGAAUAAUGAAAGAACUCCAUGGAAAAAGGUACUGUUACUGAUCAUGGACUAUGAAAGGAGAAAGGCAAGAGUCUCCAGACUUCUGGACAAAGGAGAAGAGGAGAAAAUUAUGACAGCAGAAAAAACUAUGCAAAUAAAUCCUGAGUAAUGAGAGGGAAGAAAAAGUUCAAAGUGAACAUGUGAAAUCUCCAAUGACUCCUCAAGCAAAGAUGUGAGAGAAUUAGCCUUCCUGGUAGCUUAAAGGUGAAAAACCAAGAAGUAAAAUGUUUCUUCUUACAAAUUUUAUCAUGCAUUUAACAUUCAUAUAUUAUUGAGCAACAUGUGAAUUAAUAGUUUAUCUUUUAAAACAUUAUCUAGAUUUUUUGAACAAAUAGAGAAUUGGAUGGGCAUUCAUCCAUCUUUUUAUUACUUUUUUUCUGCAUUAGGGAGUGAUAUUCAUUUCCACAAGCCAUAACAAAUAGUACCAUUUGCUGUAGGAUUUGCUCUCACCUGGGACACAGCCUGUUGUCUGCCUUUACUACAAAAAGAUGUCUCUUUUAAAGCAGGGGAGUCGGCAUGCAUUACUAUCCUGCUCUAAAAUCCCAGUAGCAUCAAAUACAGUUUUUAACUACACUGUACUUCAGCAAGACCAGCACUGAACUUUACAACAAGAGGUGACUCUACCUAAGUAUUUUAUGAUAAAAUCAAGAACGUUUUUUUACUUGAAGGCUGUGUCCUGGUUUCAGCUGGGAUAAAGUUAAUUUUCUUUCUAGUAGCUGGUAUAGUGCUAUGUUUUGGAUUUAGUAGGAGAAUAAUUUUGAUAACACACUGACGUUUUGGUUACUGUUGACCAGUUCUUACACAGAGUCAAGGCCUCUUCUGCUUCUCACACCACUCUACCAGUGAGCAGGCUGGGGAUGCACAAGAAGCGGGAGAGGACACAGCAGGGACAGCUGACUGUAACUGACCAAAGGGAUCUUCCACACCAUAUGACAUCAUUCUCAGAGUAUAAAUUAGGGAGAAGAAGAUGGAAGAGGGGGACAUAUGUUGUGCUGAUUGUUUAUCUUCCCAAGUAGCUAUUAUGCAUGAUAGAGCCCUGCUUUCCUGGAGAUGGCUGAAUCUCUGUCUACCAAUGGGCAGUAGUGAAUUAAUUCCUUGUCUUGCUUUGCUUGCAUGUGUGGCUUUUCCUUUACUUAUUAAACUGUCUCUAUUUCAACCCACAAUGUUUUUCACUUUUACUCUUCUGAUUCUCUCCUCCUUCCUGAUGGGGUGCAGUGAGCAAGUGGCUGUGGUGUUUAAUUGUCAGCUGGGGUUAAACCACUAUAGGAUUUUACUUGGGAGGUGGGUGCUGGGUGGCAGGGAUGAAAAGAAUAUAUCUCUUUUAGUUAAAACAACAACAACAAAAUAACUCCCUUUUUGUGUGGACUGGUAGGAUCCAAGGUAGAUCAUAAACAUAGGGAGGGAAAAAAGGUAUAUCCGUUGAAUCACCUUUUACAGCACUGCAUCUUGAUUCUCAUAAUGUACCCAUUGAAUCGAUUCUGUAUUUUUAAAAUAGGGCAGCUUUUCAAUAUGUGUGCAUUGCUAUGAAUCCUCAGCAGUCCAUGGAGCUAUGGUUCUUACAGCAGUUGAAACUUUGACCUUUCAAUCUUUUGCUUUUGUCUGUCUAUAUCACUGC
This is a long non-coding RNA of Cuculus canorus (common cuckoo), 1753 nucleotides long. RefSeq lists it as uncharacterized. The transcript is spliced from 4 exons. The record is from RefSeq and is a predicted model, not a curated record. Lineage: Eukaryota; Metazoa; Chordata; Aves; Cuculiformes; Cuculidae.